RNAcentral lists this ribosomal RNA (497 nucleotides) under uncultured bacterium. RNAcentral describes it as "partial 16S ribosomal RNA". It matches the Rfam family "Bacterial small subunit ribosomal RNA", at positions 28 to 507 of the family's 1533-position model. The record is from RNAcentral.
GAUGAACGCUGGCGGCGUGCCUAAUACAUGCAAGUCGAGCGAACGGACGAGAAGCUUGCUUCUCUGAUGUUAGCGGCGGACGGGUGAGUAACACGUGGAUAACCUACCUAUAAGACUGGGAUAACUUCGGGAAACCGGAGCUAAUACCGGAUAAUAUUUUGAACCGCAUGGUUCAUAAGUGAAAGACGGUCUUGCUGUCACUUAUAGAUGGAUCCGCGCUGCAUUAGCUAGUUGGUAAGGUAACGGCUUACCAAGGCAACGAUGAAUAGCCGACCUGAGAGGGUGAUCGGCCACACUGGAACUGAGACACGGUCCAGACUCCUACGGGAGGCAGCAGUAGGGAAUCUUCCGCAAUGGGCGAAAGCCUGACGGAGCAACGCCGCGUGAGUGAUGAAGGUCUUCGGAUCGUAAAACUCUGUUAUUAGGGAAGAACAUAUGUGUAAGUAACUGUGCACAUCUUGACGGUACCUAAUCAGAAAGCCACGGCUAACUACGUG